UCCGGUUUGUCACCGGCGGUCUCCCUAGAGUUCCCAACUAAAUGAUGGCAACUAGGGACAAGGGUUGCGCUCGUUGCGGGACUUAACCCAACAUCUCACGACACGAGCUGACGACAGCCAUGCAGCACCUGUCUCUCGGCUCCCGAAGGCACCCCCGCAUCGCUGCAGGGUUCCGAGGAUGUCAAGACCAGGUAAGGUUCUUCGCGUUGCAUCGAAUUAAUCCACAUAAUCCACCGCUUGUGCGGGUCCCCGUCAAUUCCUUUGAGUUUUAGCCUUGCGGCCGUACUCCCCAGGCGGCGAACUUAACGCGUUAGCUUCGACACUGAGUGGCUAAGUCCACCCAACGUCCAGUUCGCAUCGUUUAGGGCGUGGACUAC
This 377-nucleotide unclassified non-coding RNA is filed under the name uncultured Gammaproteobacteria bacterium. RNAcentral's name for it is "contains 16S-23S intergenic spacer region". Lineage: Bacteria; Pseudomonadati; Pseudomonadota; Gammaproteobacteria. The record is from RNAcentral.